RNAcentral lists this unclassified non-coding RNA (329 nucleotides) under soil metagenome. Its description in RNAcentral is "partial contains 5.8S ribosomal RNA, internal transcribed spacer 2, and large subunit ribosomal RNA". The stretch from base 1 to 120 matches the Rfam family "5.8S ribosomal RNA", at positions 35 to 154 of the family's 154-position model. The record is from RNAcentral.
GAUGAAGAACGCAGCGAAAUGCGAUAAGUAAUGUGAAUUGCAGAAUUCAGUGAAUCAUCGAAUCUUUGAACGCACAUUGCGCCCCCUGGUAUUCCGGGGGGCAUGCCUGUCCGAGCGUCAUUACAACCCUCAAGCUCAGCUUGGUGUUGGGCCCCGCCGCCCCGGCGGGCCCUAAAGUCAGUGGCGGUGCCGUCCGGCUCCGAGCGUAGUAAUUCUUCUCGCUCUGGAGGUCCGGUCGUGUGCUCGCCAGCAACCCCCAAUUUUUCUAUGGUUGACCUCGGAUCAGGUAGGGAUACCCGCUGAACUUAAGCAUAUCAAUAAGCGGAGGA